AGUAGCGAAAGACAGGUGAGAAUCCUGUCCACCGAAUGACUAAGGUUUCCUGGGGAAGGCUCGUCCGCCCAGGGUUAGUCGGGACCUAAGCCGAGGCCGACAGGCGUAGGCGAUGGACAACAGGUUGAUAUUCCUGUACCCGUUGUUUUUGUUUGAGCAAUGGAGGGACGCAGGAGGCUAAGAAGUGCAGACUGAUGGAUAUGUCUGUUCAAGCAGUAAGUCUUGGUAGGAGUCAAAUGCUUCUACCUAUACGGACAAGCUGUGAUGAGGAGGGAAAUAAUAGUACCGAAGCUUCUGAUGUCACACUGCCAAGAAAAGCUUCUAGUGAGAAAACAACGGCCCGUACCGCAAACCGACACAGGUAGUCGAGGAGAGAAUCCUAAGGUGAGCGAGAGAACUCUCGUUAAGGAACUCGGCAAAAUGACCCCGUAACUUCGGGAGAAGGGGUGCUGCUCUAACGAGCAGCCG
RNAcentral lists this ribosomal RNA (468 nucleotides) under Listeria monocytogenes. Its description in RNAcentral is "partial 23S ribosomal RNA". It matches the Rfam family "Bacterial large subunit ribosomal RNA", at positions 1305 to 1779 of the family's 2925-position model. Lineage: Bacteria; Bacillati; Bacillota; Bacilli; Caryophanales; Listeriaceae. The record is from RNAcentral.